UGACAGGUGUCUCUCCAUGUGGCCAACAAAAUGCCCAAAUACAGAUGAGCGGCACGAAACCACUUACUUUUUAAGGAAAGCCGACAAUGCCUUCACGAAGUCCUGCUGGUUGACGUCCUUCACCGUGACAGCUGGCAUCUGAAGCGUAAAAGUAAAGGUUAAACCAGAACUUCCUCAAACACCUGAACCACAAAACACGAGACGGUCGCGGGUCUGCUCUGCGCACACGUCUGAAAAACCACACGUCGGCAAGACUCGUGACAACGUUCCCACCACAGCCUUGCUGGAGUGGACCUCAAAGUGUUGAUUAUUUCCUACAAAGAUAUCUGUAUUAAAAGAGGCGUCACUCAUGUACAUACCAUACUCUACAGUGUGUGCGUUCACUUGGUGUUUGGACCUGGUUCUGGCACGCUGGUUAGCGGAACAUUCUGGAUCCGCCCGCGUGCAUCAUUGUCCCUGAGACCCUUAACCUGUGAUGAUGUAAAGGUCACAGGUGAGGUCCUUGGGAACAAGGCUGCGUGUGAAACCCGUCUGAAAGCAGAUCUUAUUAGAGGACAGAAAGUGACACGUGACACAGAGGCUGUGUCCGCUACCCUUUAAUAACCGAUAGGUCUUAAAAUAUCAAGUCACGUAUAUAUAUAAAGCGUCUCAAGUUUUCUUCUGUGCGGCGUGCGCUCCAGGCAGGACGGUGAAAGAUGAGGGACUUGAACAAGAGCAUGUUGAUUGUCUGUGUUUAUACAAUAGGGACAGGGCUCUUUGAAUUUUACACUUCAUCAAAUGCCAAUGACACUAUAGCUAUAGCUGGAGGGGGCAGUUCCUGUCAGCUGGCUUUGUGGUCCUAAAUGUGACGAGUUUAAUGAGAAGUCAGCCAAAGGUUGUGACCCCGAUGUAGAUUGCAACUGGAUUCAUGUAGGUGCCUUAUUUAUUUUAUGUGAUAUUUUAAUAAAUAUUUUAAUAAAUGAAUGAAGAUUUAUAUUAAUAUAAAUGUUUUGUCUAAUUUGAUCCAUUUCAUAUUGAUAUAUUGCCCAAUAAUAGGAUAAAAUGGACAUGUUUGAAUGCAUCUGUUGAAAUAUAACUGUUAAGGUGUGUUACAAAGGUGUGUUAAUAAACAAAUGAAUAUUAAAACGGUUUAUACAUUUAGAAAUACAAAUACAAAAUUGGAUAAAAUGUGUUUGUUUUAUUCAUGACAAAUUACUUAUUUACUUAUUAAUAAACCACACAACCACACCUUUUAUACCCAUGAAUACAAAUAAUAAUAAAACAUAUUAUUACUACAAGCACUGUGUUAUCAUUGCAGAACAGUCAGUCUACAUUUGUGUAUAAACCAUGAGUAGCAUAAUGUGGUGCUGGCUGCGGCUCAGUGUCCCCCUGCUAUCCGCCUCCAUGUGUUUGUUCAUCCCAGGACAGUUGACAUCGAUUGUGCAGGAAGCAGACUGAGACACAUUAGUACCCAGCUCACCCCUGUCGCUGAAAAACACAUUAACCGGCUGCAUCGGCAGUCCUGUCUGGUAACCAUGGCGAAGAGCACAAGGAGGGAGUGGAGGAGGGGUGAUGGGCUGAUCUGGGGCAGCGGGUUCAGAGCUCCGUGUCUCAGAGGGGCUGUUGCUCAGACACUCUGUUCCUUUCCUCCGGCCACGUCUGCCAUUCUCCUUCUGCCUCACUCUUUCACUCUCGCUCUCCCUCUCUCUUCAAACUACCCCUUGUUCAUUUUUAAAUUUCUCACUUGCUGUUCUACUAUUUACUUAUUUACUUACUUAUACAAUGAAAGUUGCAUAUUUCCU
This is a long non-coding RNA of Gadus chalcogrammus (walleye pollock), 1781 nucleotides long. RefSeq lists it as uncharacterized. The transcript has 3 exons. Lineage: Eukaryota; Metazoa; Chordata; Actinopteri; Gadiformes; Gadidae. The record is from RefSeq and is a predicted model, not a curated record.